RNAcentral lists this ribosomal RNA (441 nucleotides) under uncultured bacterium. RNAcentral describes it as "partial 16S ribosomal RNA". It matches the Rfam family "Bacterial small subunit ribosomal RNA", at positions 338 to 795 of the family's 1533-position model. The record is from RNAcentral.
CCUACGGGUGACAGCAGUGGGGAAUAUUGCACAAUGGGGGGAACCCUGAUGCAGCGACGCCGCGUGAGCGAGGAAGUAUUUCGGUUUGUAAAGCUCUAUUAGCAGGGACGAAAAAAGACGGUAUCUGACUAAGAAGCCCCGGCUAACUACGGGACAGCAGCCGCGGUAAUACGUAGGGGGCAAGCGUUAUCCGGAUUUACUGGGUGUAAAGGGAGCGUAGACGGCAAGGCAAGGCAGGAGUGAAAGGGCAGGGCUCAACCCUGUACAUGCUUUUGGAACUGGGUUGCUAGAGUGCAGUAGAGGUAAGUGGAAUUCCUAGUGUAGCGGUGAAAUGCGUAGAUAUUAGGAGGAACACCAGUGGCGAAGGCGGCUUACUGGACUGUAACGGACGUUGAGGCUCGAAAGCGUGGGGAGCAAACAGGAUUAGAUACCCUUGUAGUC